This 155-nucleotide ribosomal RNA is filed under the name uncultured Bacillus sp. RNAcentral describes it as "partial 16S ribosomal RNA". It matches the Rfam family "Bacterial small subunit ribosomal RNA", at positions 340 to 490 of the family's 1533-position model. The record is from RNAcentral. Lineage: Bacteria; Bacillati; Bacillota; Bacilli; Caryophanales; Bacillaceae.
UACGGGAGGCAGCAGUAGGGAAUCUUCCGCAAUGGACGAAAGUCUGAUGGAGCAACGCCGCGUGAGCGAUGAAGGCCUUCGGGUCGUAAAGCUCUGUUGUUAGGGAAGAACAAGUAUCGGAGUAACUGCCGGUACCUGACGGUACCUACCAGAAG